RNAcentral lists this ribosomal RNA (516 nucleotides) under uncultured Glomus. Its description in RNAcentral is "SSU rRNA". It matches the Rfam family "Eukaryotic small subunit ribosomal RNA", at positions 569 to 1081 of the family's 1831-position model. The record is from RNAcentral. Lineage: Eukaryota; Fungi; Glomeromycota; Glomeromycetes; Glomerales; Glomeraceae.
AGCAGCCGCGGUAAUUCCAGCUCCAAUAGCGUAUAUUAAAGUUGUUGCAGUUAAAAGCUCGUAGUUGAAUUUCGGGGUCAGUAGAUUGGUCGUGCCACUGGUAUGUACUGGUCUUACUGGCUCCUCCUUCCUGAUGAACCGUAAUGCCAUUAAUUUGGUGUUGCGGGGAAACUGGACUGUUACUUUGAAAAAAAUUAGAGUGUUUAAAGCAGGCUAACGCUUGAAUACAUUAGCAUGGAAUAAUGAAAUAGGACGUUCGAUCUUAUUUUUGUUGGUUUCUAGGAUUGACGUAAUGAUUAAUAGGGGAUAGUUGGGGGGCAUUAGUAUUCAAUUGUCAGAGGUGAAAUUCUUGGAUUUAUUGAAGACUAACUACUGCGAAAGCAUUUUGCCAAGGAUGUUUUCAUUAAUCAAGAACGAAAGUUAGGGGAUCGAAGACGAUCAGAUACCGUCGUAGUCUUAACCAUAAACUAUGCCGACUAGGGAUCGGAUGAUGUUAAUUUUUUUAAUGACUCAUUC